UGGUGUAUUCUUUUGCCUUUUUAUGAUAGUCUAUGCGGAUUAGACUAACGUUGCCUAUUACUUUUUUCAUUGGUCUUCGGAAAAACAAUGAAGAAAUAUGUUUGCUUCAUUAUUAGACCCAAAAACGAGUGAAAACAAUCUAGAAAUUUGUUUUCUUCACUAUUUGACACAAUAAAUAAAUAUGAAAUUUAUUUCAAAAAAAAAGAGAGAGAGAAAACCAUAAAUUUAGAGGCAAUGACACCAAAGAUUUAAGCAUCUUGACAUCACACUUCAAUCAUAACUAUUAUCUUAAAUUUUAAAUCACGUGCAGCAUUAAAUUCGUGCAAUUCAGAAAUUUUAUUUUCAUUGUGUUUCAUUAUUCUCUUUGCCCAUCUAGUUGCGUACAUCUUGAAAUUUUUGCACCCAUUUUGGGUGUACAAUUGGAGCUAAAGAAGAAAAUUUAUUGGAACUUUAAAGGUGAAGUCAGGGUGCUCUUUUCAGUAUCACUACUUUUCUUGAAAAGAGAGAAUCUCAAUUACUAUUCAUCUAUGAUUUCUCCUCACAUGUUGCCUGUGUGGACAAAAACAGCAAGCCAUGAUUAUUGACUGAUAACAUCUCAUUUUUUAUUACUCCCAACACUCAAUUAAUAUUGUUUAGGCCUCCACCGUUCAAUCCCAUGCCACCCAUUUCACACUUCAGAUCCUGUUAGGUAUCCAACUCUUCACCGUUCAUACAAAUAUCUACCUUAUAUAUACCUUUUUAGCUUCUCUUACACCUUUUGAAGUCUAUAGCUUAAGGAAAAAAAUGAAGGUGAUUUUCGUUCCACUGUCGAUGAGGAAGAAUGAAGACGAAGAAUUGGGAUCUACUGUGGUCACCGACGAUGUAGAGGAGGAUCUAAAGCUCGCGAUCAAGGACCACAAGGCAUGGUUUCUGCUUCUUUUUUGCCUAUGCUUUUGUGGAUAUCAUGUAGAGAAUACAAAGAAUGUGUUCUCUUCAUCAGAACUAACUAAUCAGUCGACGAAAAAUUAAAAACUUAAAUGGAGUCGACCCUGAAGGUUUGUUUUCAACUCUCAAAUUUCUACUUUUUUAAUUUCUAUCCGUUUGUUUUUCUUUAAGACUUUUAAUGAUUUGAUUAUUUUUCAGUACAUGAAUGUUAGAUUUUUGAAAUUUUUUGCCCCUAAAAAAAAGAAAUUGAGAAAAUUUUAGAUGAUAAAGAUUGCUUAGGUGAUUACAGCCACUGGUAGUGGUAUGUUGUUGUUGUAAGCUUCAAUUUGUUACUGUGUUUUGCAUUAUAAUCUUAAUACAAUUGUUUGUUUGAAGAAAAUAUACUUCUAAUUAACCAUUUUCCUUUAGACGAAGGCAGUUGCGGUCAAGGACAAGAUCUAGCUACCUUCUAUUUGGUCGCGAAAAGCCUGUGCACAAGGUCCUAGGCAGAGAGAAAUAUACGGAUGUAUAUCUCUCUAUUGAUUAAUUUUACACAUCUAUUAGAUAUUUAUGUAGGAUCUUGGUGUUUUGAUUGGCAAAUGACUAAUUGUUUAUGUGUGUUUAUGUUACUGGUGCAAUUGUAGUUGUGUGUGAUUUUGACUAAAGAUCUAUUUAAGGUUGAUCCAACUUAAUUGCUACUGUUUAGUUGCAAUGUGAAAAUAGAAUCGCUGUUCUGGAAUCGUUUAUAGCUUUUUACUGCUGAUAAUUUAUUUAUUUUACCCUUUUUAUUUUGAAUUCUUACCAUACUACUGACACUUGAACCUUUAACAUUCACAAAAAUGCAGUAAGGGGUAGAAAUAAACAAGGGCAUAUAUUCAAAUGCGAAAUUAUGAAUUACACUCUAAUUUUUUGCAUUUUUCGAGGAAUCAAGUAGAGACAUCAACAAUUCUAGAUACUUGUCUAAUUUAAGAUCAGAGUUAUGAGUUUAUUCUCCUUUCCAUGGAUACUUGUACAUCUUUCCACUUGAAUUAUCUUACUGAUUUUUGGCAGCUGCUGAUGUUUUCCUAUGGAGGGAAAAGAAAAUUUGUGCUGGCAUGCUUAUUCUUCGUUACAUCUUUAUUGUCAAGUAGGCUGUGGAUUAAUUAGGUUCUUGGAAGUGGAAUUAUGAUAAUUUAAAGGGAAAUUUUAGAAAAGUUAUCUUCUUCAGAAAUUGUGAAUAAUGUUGCAAUAAUUUCAUUAAUCAAUUGUGGGCAUAUACAUCAAUUAGCGUAAAUCAAAGAAUGAUGAAAUCAUAGUAGUCCAUUGAUGUGAGCACAUGAUCUCUUAUGAUCACUUUCCCUUGUAUAAUAGAAAUUUCUACAAUUGUGGGGAUACACUUUUGUUGGAUUGAACUUUUGUAUUUUUCAUUUUUUAAGUCUGAUAUUUAUAUUCUAUUUUUGCUUUAGCAGUUGUAUUCGAUCUAAGUUUGAAGGUUAAUUCUAUUCACUUCUCACUUCUAAUGCAGGUCCUGUAGCAGAAUAUGCAUUCCAUUGACAAGCAAGGAUUAUGGGACCUUCAACAGUCCUUAUUCUGGAGGUGUAUUUUUUGGUUUCCAUUCAUUUUCCUCUCGAUUACCCUUUUAUAUGCUUGUAUCCUCUACAUUAGUUGUAUAGUAACUUCCCAUCUUCGAGUCAUUUGCUCACUUGUAUUUAGAUCGAACUCUGAUAGUGAAAAGCAGAUAACUGUGCAGGAAGAUUUCUUUCUCUUACUAGGUGUCGAAACCCUUCAUACCUUAUCAGUUUCUAAGCUAAACGAUAUAAACAUAUUAUAAUAUGUAAUGAUUUACCCUAUCCCCAAGUGCAAUUUUGCAGAAUAAGUUUACGAGUUCAUUCUCUUCUUUCUCUGGUUCUUUUUCCUGCUGCGUUUUGCAAAAUGAAUUCCUGAAAUUUCAACUUCUUUUCCCCAGGAAGUUCUUUCAAUAGGUAGAUGUUAAGCACAUAAACUAUAUAUUUGUGUUCAUUGUUGAAACUCUAUGAAUAUCAUUGGUAAUUACUCAAAACAAUACUACAAAUUUUUUUAUUUAAUAUCUUGUUGAAAAGAGUUUGUUUUCCCCUAUCCUUGGAGAGUUUGUGAUUCUUCCAAAUAGUUAUUGUUUCCAUGGAGAUUAUGUUGAUAAACUCAGUGACCCAAAUAGCUGAUUUAUUCUUUGUUUCUGGUUGCUUUUACAACAAAAAGUUUUCCACCCAACAUCAAUAGCAAUGGAAGCAUUUGCCUUGAUAUUCUUAAUGGUACAAUCAUACUACAUGUGCAUCAUUCUAUACAUCUUGGUUUGUAUUCUUCCUCAUGGAACCAUCUUCCUUUGAUUUUCCAGCAAUCUUUCACAUCACUGCCCAUACUGUGCUACAUAGCGGGAAUGUCAUCCAUGGUGCAUGGGAAAAUGUACAACUAGCAUUAUUGAUCUAAGGUAAUUAAUUUUUUUUCGUUAUAAUAAUGAGAUGACAUCAUUUAAUGAAUUGUGGCUAUACACGUUCAAACUUGGACUAAAUUAAUUUUAAUGUAUGGGUUUCCACACUUGAUAUAUCAUACAUUAUUCUCUGUGUUCGCGUUCCCAUUUAUGACUGGUUCCACAGUCUUAUGCAUUGGCUUCAUCAUUAAAAAAUGUAACAGAUUGCAAUGUAUGCUCGGGAUUCAUUUAGUUCUUUUUUGGUCAAUACACUAACUUGGUUCGGAAGACAGGAAAAAUAAAUCAGGGAUUUGGCUUGGGUUUUAGGUGAUUUUAAAAUUGGUAAUCAAAGUAAACUUAUUUUAUUACUUAGUUAUGAGAAAAAUUGUUGGGUUGAAGUCACCAAAGUAAACAACCGAUCCAAUAUGAUGAUUAUAAUUACAACACAUAAAAAAAAAAAAUCUUUUAAUAUGUUGAGGAAUAUCCCUAUCAAUAAUUAUCUAGGAAAUGGCGACAUUCCAUAUAUAGAAAUAAACUCCCGAGUAUGAUCUUCUCUUACUUUUCUUUAAACCAUUUUCCAAGUUGCAUGCACAUGUUGGAUUGCCAUUAUCGUAUACGAUAGAUCUUCACAUUUCAUAUGCCAAUAUUAUCGAGUUUAGAUUCUCAAAAUUUAAACUCUCUCUCCAGAUAUACUAUUAUUACCCUUUGACUGCUCCUUUGGACCUUACUAAGGUUUACAAUAACAUCCAAUGGAAUAGCACAAAGGCCCAACACGUUGACACAAUAAUUCAUAUGAGACGCGACUGGGUAAGUUCCUCAUUUUAAUUCCAUUAUGUCUUCUCAUUUCUUCAUGCACCUUAAAUGCUUCAUCUCUAUUUUUCAAAGAGUAAAAUCAUAUGUAAAUUGACCACAUUAAAUUAAGUUCAUUUUCCUUACCUCAUUGAAUACUAAUUUUACCUUCAAAAUAACUGUGCCCGUGUAGAAUACAUAAAAUUCAUGCAUGUAACACAAACCAACCCUUCCCCCCCCCCCCUUCAAACGCAUAAUUUAAUUCAUUUUUAAAUAUGUAGUGAUAUCUAUUAUUUAACAAGAGCACGUGCCCAUUUAUUUAUAUUAUAAGAUAUAACAUGAAUCACCAAAAUCAUUUCAAAAUAAAUUUAGUACCUUCCAAGAGCGUAAAUCAGAAGUGGGUGGAAAGAAAUUUGUUAUAUAUUUUCUUCGUGUGUUGAAAUAUUCUUGCAAUUACAAGAAACAGGGAAAUCAUUUUUAGUAAAGGAAUGCCUAAGGUUUCUUUCUAAUUUUAGGUCCUUUAUUUAAUGAUAAGAUUGCACUAAUUAAUUAAUUAUCGAAUUCAUUGGAUUCAAAAUUGUGCUAAUUACCAAAUUCAUUACAUUGAAUAUUGGGCUGAUUCCAUUCUUCUUUACUGUCCAAAUAAAAAUUCAAUCAAACGAAAAAUAUAUAAAUGUUAAGAUCAAGCCUAUGUUUAAUUUAUUUAAUAACAAAUUAUAACAUCAUAAGCUUAUUAUAAAAUAUCAUAUUAUGUGUUAUAUGUUCAAUUGAAUUGCAUUAUAAUUAACUUUAAUUGCCACGUCGAUCAUAAGGCGUCCAAGGUACACUCCAUUACAAAACAUGGUUAUUCACAAAGACAAUAAAUUAACAUUUCGCAUCAUACAUAUAUGUAAAUUGAAGAAAAGAAAGUGCGGCGUUACAAAAGGAAUCUCAUCUUUUGGGUAUUAAAAUUUAUUUUAAUUUCACUAUUUAUUUAAUACCAACUCUAAUAUUUUUUUGUAUUCGUUUAGCUUUAUUUUACAUGAAAUUUGUUAGUUUAAGGGAUAUCCUCUUUUACAAUUAUUCUUAUAAUUUGUUUCCAUUGCAAAAAAUAAAAUAAAAUAAAAUAAAAAAGGUGGAAAAAAUAAAACCACCUACCCAAGGAAAAAUGAAUUCCCCAAAAAUAAGGAAUUGGUGCACGUGUGAGUCAAAGGUGGAAAACCAAUUGUCUAGAAAAUUUUUACUAUCAAACAAGCCAAAAGUGAGACAUGAAAUUUGUUUUCCAUUUUCCAUGGAAAAUUUUGCGAUAUCAAACAUGGCCAAAGUGUAUUUUUUAUAAUUAUUUUUUUAUACUUAUAACAAGAAAUUUCAAUAAUUAAUUGUUUGGUAGAUAUUUUGUUAAUUGAUUUUUUGACCGUUAGAGAUAAAGUGAGUCCCACCUGUGAGAAUAAUUCAAAAAUAACGGUUGAAAUAGUGAAAUAACGGUCAAAAAAUUGAUUUAAUUGAAUUAAAAUCCCUACCAAACAUGCUUAAAAUUAUAAACAUGACUUGACUAAUAUCUAACACUUAAUUCAGGCCUGUCAAUCAAUCAUUACAUAUGCAACUACUAUUACUAUAGGCGGUAGAUGCUAAAAUAGGUUUCCCGUUUCCUUAACAAUUAAGUGACUUUUCAUUUGAUCAAUUCAAGCAGUCAUUUUUGAGAAUUCAUUUAAGGAUGUUCACAAUAUAAUUUUAGAUUCUAUUUUUCAAUGAAUAAUGUUAUUUACAGUCGUCCACUAUUACAGUAGUCCUAUGUGACAUACAGGUGGUGGUAUCAAAUCACUAAUCCCUACAUGUACACUACGUAGGACGACUACGACAGUGAACGAUUGCAAAUAACAUUGCUCUUUUUCCAAUGAUUGUACGAUAUAGCAUGGAAAUUUAUUAUGCAAUUGAUUGUUUGAAAAUAUGCAUCCUAACUUUUUAAAGUUCCAAGAAAUUUGCUUUCUUGGCUUCGAUAAUACAACCAGAAUUGAUUCAAGGGUGUAUGCAAUGUAGUUUUUGGUUCUAUUUUUAAAAAUGAUGGUACGAUCAAGCAUGGCUUUCACUGUGCAAUUGAUUGCUUGAAAAUAUGAGUUCCAAGAAAUUUCCAUUCUUAGCUUGUUGGAGCACAAUUCACUAUGCACUCAACUUGAAAGGCAAAAAGUAGAUGAAACAAGAUUCAAAAAAGGGGAAACGAGUUCAUGAUUCCAUGAAUUUAAUGCUGCACGUAAUUUAAAGAGUGUGAUUGUGUCAAGUUGCAAGAAAUUUGCUCUCUUGGCUUCAGAAUUAAUUCAAGUGUUCGCAAAAUAAUGGUACGAUCAAGCAUGGGCAAAUACUGUGCAAUUGAUUGCUUGAAGAGUUCCAAGAAAUUUUCUUUCUUAGCUUGUUGGAGCACAAUUCACUAUGCACUCAACUUGAAAGGCAAAAAGUAAUAAGAUUAAAAAUAAUAAUAAUAAAAAAUAAAAAUUCAUGAUUGCAUGAAUUUAAUGCUGCACAUAAUUUAAGAGAGUGUGAUUGUGUCAAGUUGCAAAAAUCUUUCGUAUCGUUGCCUCAGAAUAUGUGAUUUUCUUCUUCUCUCAUUUUAGUAAAUUGUAUUUUUUUUUUCUUUUUUGUGUCUAAUAAUUAAGAAAACAUAUUUAUUGAUUGUUUUUAUUCAUUUGGCGUAAGAUUAUUUUUGUUUGUGACAGUUGAAAACAAUUGCGGAAUUGAUUGUUGAGUUGGACCAAUGUCUGAAAAUGUAAAACUUGAGUUUUACCAACUUAAGCUAAUUGAUUAUGUAAGUUGUAUAAGGGCCCGUUUGGCACGACUUUUACUUUGGCUUUUGCUUCUUGUAGAAGAGUUUUUGGAGAAAGCUAUUUUAAUUUUUGUUUGAAAAUUAAUAUUUAAAAUCACUUCCCAUUCCGGAAGUGCUUUUGGAGGAAGCCAAAAAAACCAGCUUCCUCUAAAAGUUCUUCUAACCUCCAAAAGUACUUUAAACAAAAAUAGCCAAACGGUCCAAAAGCGGCUUUUGGCUCUCAAAAGCUCCUUUUGGCUUUUCAUAAGCCAUCCCAAACGGGCCCUAAAUUAGGUUUGCGUGAAAACUCUUCAAACUAGUUACUUAAUCUUUUUUCCAAAACAUGUACAUGAAACAAUUAAUUUUUACCCCAUAUUCAUUUUAUGGAUCAUAUUUUUGUUUUCUUGUAUGAUUAUUUAGGUAAUGAAGUAGUAGAAUCUAAUGCCACGAAACAUAUAAUGUCUGAAUAAAUACUCUGUAAUUUAUUCUAUGAAAUGAUGGGACUCGAAGAUGCCAAAUGCUAGACUAAAUUAAAUAGAAAAAAAUCAUUUGAAAAUAAAUCAUGUGACUCUACUGUUAGUACACAAGUUAUUAGGGUUUUAUUGUAAAUUUUAGGAAGGGUAUGGCAAUACUGUAAUAUUUAAAUCCUUUCCACAUUAUAGUUUACACUUUUUGUCCAAUAUUCUCCUUGAUUUUUUAUUUUAUUUUUUUCAUUUUUUAUUGCUUUCAAAACUUGAAGUGAUCUAUACUUAUCGUUAGGCUACCUUUCCAAUAACACAUCAUCAAAUGUGCGUUUGAAUAAUUAUUUUAACAUGCUUGCGAUACGUUGCAAGCCAUAUUUUUAUUAUUUGUGAAUAAAACAUACUAUUUGUUAUUUUCUUAGUUUUUAUGGGGAAUAUGUAACGGUUAAUUUUUUAUUUUAAAAAAUAAUUAAAAUAGCAUCUACACAUACUGUAUUACACUCUAUAUGCCUUGCGUGUUUUGCCAUUUUGUACUAUUUUUUGGACGCAAACAUAAUUAUCAUUUGUUAGUGCUUGUGAAACAAUAAUUCGUAUAAUUUGUAAAAAAGUUGUCUACGCGCUAUAUAUAUUCUCUCUCUCUGUGUGUAUAUAAUUGAUAGUUCUAACUCUAAAUAUAUGAUUAUCAUGAUUGGUAUGAUAUGUAAAUGAAGUGAUCAAAUUUUUUUGUUGACGUUGAUUAAAAUAUUACUUUUGAGUAAGUUUCACUUAAGAACAAAGAAUUGCCUUUGUGGUCAUUAGAAUACAAUUUUUUUUGUAGAAUCUAAUGAAUUAUUGCAUUAAUUAAGACUAAUAAAUAGAGUAAAUAAAUUAUAGAACUUUUUUUUGAAAUUCUAUAUCAUUUGGUUUUACAAUUUACAUAUUUAGUGAAUUGACAUUAACUUAAAAUAUUAGUCUAUUGGGCAAAGAAGAUGGAAUAUUACAAAAAAAAUAUUAUUAUUAGUCAUGAGAUCUAGCUUAUAUAAGUCUAUACCAAAAUAUUAUAGUUAUAUUAUUUCUCUUCUCGAUCUUAUCUUGCAAUUUUAGGUCAAUAAAAUUUAGGCGUGAUUUUUAAAACUAUGAACGGGCUACGAAAGGGGUUUGGAUUCUCAACAUUAUUUUAUUGAUAUCGCAAUUAAUGCUCUUAUUUCAUACAGACAAAUGUUAGACAUACUCUACAAACUAUUCAUUGAUACUUUUUUAUAUUUUUUGUUAGCAAAAAUUGUGUACUAGUUUCAUGCUUAGGAAAUUGCAAUAUGUAAACUGUAAUUUUUUACGAGAGCUUGCUUUUAUUUGUUAAUACUUAAGAAAUAAUGGUAUGUAUAAAAUAUUUGUUAAGUAAUAUAUUUGUUAAAGUAGAUACGUAGUGUAAUUACAUUACGUAUCCACGUGGUGCAUUUUAUAAUUUUUUUCUAAGGGUAAUACAUUUGAUCAUUUUAAGAACCAUAUGGACAAAUGAGUUUGGUAGCUUUAUAUGUUUUCUGCUGGGAGCUCAUCAAUGUGCACCGCUCAUGUGUCGCACCUACAUUAUAAAAUUUUGUAAUUUCAAAAUGUUACAUAUUUUUCUUACACUUUGUUUCCUUUUAGAAAUUCUAAUCGAGAAUUUCUGUUUGUCAUAUGUGAUGGCACAAGCACAACGAUUAUUUAUUUAUUUGAUAUAUUUUGUGCACUUUCUAAUUUCAAUUUUCUAUUUACAGGAAGUCCACCAGUACAGACCUGGCCCUGGCCCAAGGCAAGUGAGGCCACUGCCUUGGGCCUCAAAUUGUACCUUGGGCCUCAAAUUGUAGGGGGCCUCAUCUAUUAAGGAUUAAAAAAAAAUGGCACAAGAAAAUGAACCGCCUUUCUCCAUAAAUCAUUUUUUCACCGUUUUCUUCUUCGUCUUCUCUUCUCCACCAGACCACCACAAGCUAACUUCUCUCAGGAGGCGGAGGCCCAGGCUAGUAGGUUGAUUAAGGAGAGGCUUAACGGAAAUUCAGCAGCUGAUUCUGGUUCACGAAGACCUGUCUCCGGCAAGAGGUCAUCCCUUUUUAUUUGUUAACAUGCUCGUUUAUGUCUCUAAACUAAUAAACUAAGUUAACUAACUUUUGUCUCGUAUUGUUUUAUUAUUUGAAUUGAUUUGUUUAUAAAUUUUUGAGGAAUGGGUUUACUUUUUCUACCGUCAUAAGAUUAGUUGAGAGACAUUUAUUUUGUAUUGAUGAAGUUUUGUUUAGUUCUAUAGUUACCGACCUGUGAAAUAGCCGGAAAGUUCUAUUUUGGGAUGUUUACAGAUACUAAUGGGAAGACGAAACAGUAUUGCCAUUAAAUAUUUGUGCACUCGCAAGGCCUGGUAAAAAUUUAAGGUUGAAAUACAUAGUUUCUAAUAUUCAGAACUUAGAAUAGAAAAAAGAACUCUAAUAAUCAUUUUUUGUGCACUUCAUAGGACAUCGACUCCUAAUAAUAAUUUGAGGCGUAUACAAUUUAGUGCACUCCUGGUACGUAAGAUUUGUAGUGUUUUCAUUUUGGGGCUUGUUGCUUCUAAAUGAAAAUAUUAGGAAUACAAAAAUAU
Molecule: long non-coding RNA, 9929 nt
Filed under: Olea europaea (common olive)
Lineage: Eukaryota; Viridiplantae; Streptophyta; Magnoliopsida; Lamiales; Oleaceae
Description: long non-coding RNA (OEUR_LNC013299)
Source: RNAcentral